This 498-nucleotide ribosomal RNA is filed under the name uncultured bacterium. Its description in RNAcentral is "bacterial SSU rRNA". It matches the Rfam family "Bacterial small subunit ribosomal RNA", at positions 29 to 526 of the family's 1533-position model. The record is from RNAcentral.
AAUAAACGCUGGCGGCGUGCUUAACACAUGCAAGUCGAGCGAGAAAGGUCUUCGGACCGAGUACAGCGGCAAACGGGUGAGUAACGCGUAGGAAUCUGCCUUUUAGUGGAGAAUACUCUCGAGAAAUCGAGCUUAAUACUGCAUAAGUCUUGAAAAAGAGAAAGAUGGCCUCUUUGCUGUCGCUAAAAGAUGAGCCUGCGUACUAUUAGCUAGUUGGUAGGGUAAAGGCCUACCAAGGCGAUGAUGGUUAGCCGGCCUGAGAGGGUGUACGGCCACACUGGAACUUAGAUACGGUCCAGACUCCUACGGGAGGCAGCAGUGAGGAAUAUUGCGCAAUGGGCGAAAGCCUGACGCAGCGACGCCGCGUGGAGGAUGAAGGUCUUAGGAUUGUAAACUUCUGUUAAGCGGGAAGAAAAGUAAAGCUCUAAUACAGCUUUAUUAUGACGGUACCGCUAGAGAAAGCACCGGCUAACUUCGUGCCAGCAGCCGCCGUAAAAC